Molecule: non-coding RNA, 3479 nt
Organism: Vicugna pacos (alpaca)
Lineage: Eukaryota; Metazoa; Chordata; Mammalia; Artiodactyla; Camelidae
Source: RefSeq, a predicted model, not a curated record
UGAAGAUUGUAUUGUUCAAAAACAGGAUCUCUCUCCCCAGAAGAAACUAUUAAGGAAAGUAUGAGAUUUUUCCCAAAAAUGAUAAAGGGAAUUCUGGUGUAAAUAUUUCCUGCCCUUUGGUUUGGUUACUUAACCCAGGAUGACAGUCUUUCUUUUAAAAUCACAUCCAGCCCACAGCACAGAUUUGGCAGGUCGCUCACUAACACCCCGGGACAGGAGUCGCUGGCGCCGAGUCACCUGUCCUGGGAACACUGCUCCCCCGUCUGCUGCUUUCAGUCUCUGUGUUUUCUUCUGCUGCUUGUCUUGCUGGAGGGGAGGUUACCGGCACUCUUGGCUGCAGAAUGAGGCAAGUUCAGGGACAAAAUUAGAAUCUGGGCAGAUCUCAACAGGCUGGGACCCAGGUCGCUGACAUUUCACUGGGAUAAAUAUAGGGUCUUAUGCAUUGGCUUUUAAACAGAGAAAACCUCCCCUGGUGUAAUUUGAGAGGGGUUCUGUCAAGCCGGAUAAAUGUAGGUUUUCAACUGUCCUGCACUAACCUCCUCCUGGAAUUUGGGGCCAGUUCUUGAAAAGACCUGAGUGUCACCAUCCUUCACAGAGCUCCCUCCUUAAGCUAGAAGACAGCUUGCUGGGCCCUGGGACCCAGCCAUGGCUGAGCCUGGGAAGGAGACAGACAAGAAGGAAGGAGGCAGAGAUAACAACGUGGGGUGAUCAGCAUGGCAGGGCGCCUGCUGGGACGCAGUGACCGGUCCCCAUCGAGAGCCCAGUGUGAGCGCAGCCGCGGCCGCCCCGACUGCGACCCCAGCCCUCAGUGCUGCCACCCGGGACUGCCGCACUAGCUGGGAAGACACUUCAAACCCUUAACAUCAGCCAGCGUAAAACGAAGUCUCACGUGACGGUGGAGGAGGGAACUUUCUGGAAGUGAGACUUGGGCACAGCGUUGCCCCGUGACCGAGACAUCUGCUGGACACGCCAGCCUUGCAGCGCUGGGCGACCACUGCCGGGUCAGCCCAGAUGAGCCAUGGUGCCUUCCGCAACACCGAGGCCUGGAAUUAAAGCUGGUAAAGGUGAGAAAGAAGACAGAGGCCCGUGACCUCAGGAGAUGGUGGUGACAGAAAUCCCAGCUGCGGGUCACAUGAGUAUCUCAGGUCAACUGUGGCUCAUCAGCAGCUGCAUCCCAUCAGGUGCCAGAUGUUCUGUCUAUGAAUUGCUUCUGGCACAGGUUUACGAAGUGAAUUGUUGAGGCGUUUUCGUACAGCCAUUUGGAAGCUGUAGGCUCCAGGAAGUGGUUUGGGGGCUCUAUUUUAAGGGCUUUAAUGGACCGUUAGGAACCCACGUCCUUUUGUAGUGAAAGCAGCGACUGUCUGCCAUGGUUUCUCCCCGUGCCUAAUCCCGGCAUCAGAUACUUGGCUGCAGGAUGCUGGGCCUUCCAUCCUCAUCAGCCAGUCCUGCCCUGACCAGCCUUCAUGGCCUGGUGGAGAAGGGUGACCACGGGUUCUAGGACUUGGACCGCUGUCAGACGUGGUGAGCCGGUGCUGUGGGAGCCAUCGGAGAGGACCUGAGUCAGGAAGGGCCCACGCAGGGGCCUCGGAGCUGCACGUUGCCAGCUGUGAAAGUGAGCUUGGGGUGGAGACAGUGAAAAGGCCUGUUGCCAGGAGAGUGUCGCUCUUCCUGGGUGUUGGGGCCUCCACUGCGGGGCACCUGUAGGAUGUACAGGAGGCAGCCAGAGGACAAAGCUGCCAUGCAGGUGGGCGCACGCUGUCCUGCAGGCAUCGGGGAUGGGGCAGCGCGUUUAUUGAGAGAGUCGUGAUCCAGAGCUUGUCGGGGCUCAUGGCCAAGGCCCACAUGAAAGGAGGGAUUCACACCAGGACACUUUCUGUGCUGGAUCAUCUGUUAGCCAGAAUUACUGUCUCCCUUUGGCUUCCUCUGAAAGGAUUUGGGUGUCGGUGGCCUGUAUGGUGGGCAGAGGUGUGGACUUUCCUGGAAAUAAGCAUGGGGAAUUGGUGAUGUGCGGAGCGGGAAGUCUAAGGAUCCUGGGAUGAGUGUGAGACACACACACAGGUACACGCGGUAUGACAGAUGCUGUAUGGUCAGUUUUCAAGGUGGAGUGGACAUGAGGAGAAGGACUUGAGUCCCUCCUUUGUGGGGCCAGGUGGGGACCAAGACAGUGCUCCCUCACAGCCUGCCUGUGAUACUCGGGUCACUGGGGAGCUGUGCUUGUCUGGACCCUCAUGCUGCUUCAGAAAGAGGCUCUGAAGUUACAGGACCCCCAGCCAGGAGCAGAGGCUGCUCACUGCACAGCGUCUGUCACUCUCCCCGGUGUGCCCAGGGAGCCACCACUUCUGAACUUCCUGUUUAUUCUGUGAAGGUGGAUCUUUGUUCCAAAUCUGGUCUGGAAAUUUGUUCCCCAGAAAUGAAGAUGUUUGUGGGAUUAGGCAGGAAUGCAGCUUUGAGCUGAGAGUCACAAAAGCAGAGUGUGUUUAAUUCAUUUCACACUAUUAUGUGCCUCUCAUGCUUUUCUUGAGAAAAGCUCCAGUUUUACUGUAGUGCCUGUUACUUCACUUUUGUAAACCUGCGACCAAAAGAUUUUUUUUUCUAUAAGGGUCCAGAUAGUAAAUGUUUUUGGUUCCAGGGGCCAAGUGGUCUCUGUUGCUGCUACUCACCUCUGCAAGUAGCCAUAGACAAUAUGUAAAUGAGUGGGCAUGGCUGCACACCAGUACAACUUGUUUACAAAACAAGUGGACACACCACAGAGAAACAGAAAGGAUUACCAGGAAACACUGCAGACACUGUGUGCCAGUAACCUAGAUGAAAGAAAGGACUGAUUCUCAGAAGGACUCAGAUGACUGAAAUAGACUCAAGAAGCAGAAAAUCUGAACAGGUCUACACAUUAAGACGUCGAAUUAGUAACGUAAAGCAGUCCAGAGGGAAAACCUGACCUGACGGCUUCGCUGGCUGAUUCUACCAAAUACUCAAGGAGGAGGAAAGAACACUUCUCAGUUCAUUCUACGAGGCCAGUAAUACCCAGAUACCAAAACCAGACAAAGACCCUACAGGCUACAAUCCCCAGUGAAAUAGAUGAAAAAAAUCUUCAGCAAUAUACUAGCGAACUGAAUCCAGCAACAUAUGAAUGUCAUUAUACACCAUGACCAAGUGGGAUUUAACUCAGGAAUACAAGGUAAGUUUCAUAUCUGAAAAUCAGUUAACAUAACAUACAAUAUUAAUAGAAUGAAAGACAUAAACCCUAUGAUCAUAUCAACAGACACAGAAAAAACAUAUGACAAAAUCCAACAUACUUUUAUGAUAAAAAUGCUCAACAAACUACGAAUUGAAGGGAACUUUCACGACCUAAUAAACGGCAUCUAUGAAAAACACAUAGUUGUUAUCUUUUCUAGUGGUGAAAGACUAAAAGUCUUCCCCUCAAGACCAAGACCAAGACAAGAAUAUCUACUCUUGCCUCUUCUAUUUAAGCAGUAGAAGGU